GUACACUCCUGCGGGAGGCAGCAGUGGGGAAUAUUGGACAAUGGGCGCAAGCCUGAUCCAGCCAUGCCGCGUGAGUGAUGAAGGCCCUAGGGUUGUAAAGCUCUUUCACCGGUGAAGAUAAUGACGGUAACCGGAGAAGAAGCCCCGGCUAACUUCGUGCCAGCCGCCGCGGUAAUACGAAGGGGGCUAGCGUUGUUCGGAUUUACUGGGCGUAAAGCGCACGUAGGCGGACUAUUAAGUCAGGGGUGAAAUCCCGGGGCUCAACCCCGGAACUGCCUUUGAUACUGGUAGUCUUGAGUUCGAGAGAGGUGAGUGGAAUUCCGAGUGUAGAGGUGAAAUUCGUAGAUAUUCGGAGGAACACCAGUGGCGAAGGCGGCUCACUGGCUCGAUACUGACGCUGAGGUGCGAAAGCGUGGGGAGCAAACAGGAUUAGAUACCCCUGUAGUCCCA
RNAcentral lists this ribosomal RNA (450 nucleotides) under uncultured organism. RNAcentral's name for it is "partial 16S ribosomal RNA". It matches the Rfam family "Bacterial small subunit ribosomal RNA", at positions 331 to 797 of the family's 1533-position model. The record is from RNAcentral.